Molecule: ribosomal RNA, 253 nt
Filed under: uncultured bacterium
Lineage: Bacteria
Description: partial 16S ribosomal RNA
Rfam family: Bacterial small subunit ribosomal RNA
Source: RNAcentral
CACGUAGGGCGCGAGCGUUGUCCGGAAUUAUUGGGCGUAAAGGGUGCGUAGGCGGCAUGGUAAGUCAGAGGUGAAAUCCCGGAGCUCAACUUCGGAAUUGCCUCCGAUACUGCCAUGCUUGAGGACUGGAGAGGAGAUUGGAAUUCACAGUGGAGCAGUGAAAUGCGUAGAUAUUGUGAGGAACACUAGUGGCGAAGGCGAAUCUCUGGACAGUUCCUGACGCUGAGGCACGAAGGCCAGGGGAGCAAACGGG